Molecule: long non-coding RNA, 1095 nt
Filed under: Pan paniscus (pygmy chimpanzee)
Lineage: Eukaryota; Metazoa; Chordata; Mammalia; Primates; Hominidae
Description: lncRNA (ENSPPAG00000045631.1)
Source: RNAcentral
GUUCAAUCUAGCUGCCGUGAAACACUGAGGUACUAUCCACCACUUGGAUGCCAAGGUGUUGUAUGGGUGGAGAUUGAAGACUUCCACUGGAAAUACAUUUAUGGGUACAGUCAAAUGGAACUUGUCCAUGAGGACCACGUAUUCUUCUUUCCAGGCUCCCAUAUUCUCUCCUGACACGCUAAGAAAUGAAAGCCUGCUCCUUCAGUGCUGAUUGAGCCUUCUAAGUAAAACAAGUGAAUUCUUCUUUUUUGACCACUUUACUGCAAAGACCAAGAGUUGUUACUUCUGAUCACAUGUGGGUGCUGAGAAGGCUGCUAGGAUCAUUUGACUAUGGAAGACAACAGAAUGGUGAAGCUGGGAUGAUCAUGUGGAUCAUUCUGGAAGAGAGGAAAGCCCAAAGACAUUUCCCAAGGCCUUGCAACUAGUUUUUGGCUUAUCCAGAAUACUUAACUCCAGGGUGACUUAGGUUGCCAUUUACUAAUAGGUGCAACUUGUGUGAAAGGAUGAGCAUUUUGAAGAACUGGGUGAAAACUCAGUUGGAAAAGCACAGGAAGCCUCUAAAUGAGAGACAGCUGAGUUGGGACAAGCACACAGAGUGCAGACUAAACUACGCCCGUGCAAGGUGCAGACAUCUUCUCAGCCACUCUAUCCACGAAUGCUGUCUGGUGGCAUCCAAGCAUAGCCAAACAUUCAGAUGGAAAAUGAAGAAUCCAGAACAUCUCCCAGAUGCCCCAGGUAUCUGCAUUCUUGGAAAGAAGGAAACCGACUUUCAGAUGAAAACAUCACAUUUCUCUGAAGAAAAUGCCUUUGGUUUUAGUUUGAAGAGGGUUGGCCUCCUGCUGUACUUGAAAAAAAAAUCUCACUUUUAAAACACAAGCAACAGAUGAAUAACCUUUUCCUUCAUCAUGUCUAGUGAUUAAAGCAUACGGUUCUCAGUUUAAAUAAGAUCGUAAACUAUCUUCACUAUAGGUUCAUGUUUGAGAAUUAUUUCAUGAGCUGUUGGCAAUUCAGCAUCUGCUAGAGGUUUGUUCAAACAUCUCAUAUUCAUUUAGGAUUUUAGAUUUUUUUUUUCUAAAUCAGCUGGGCCAUUUACUC